Molecule: ribosomal RNA, 467 nt
Filed under: uncultured bacterium
Lineage: Bacteria
Description: partial 16S ribosomal RNA
Rfam family: Bacterial small subunit ribosomal RNA
Source: RNAcentral
GAUGAACGCUGACAGAAUGCUUAACACAUGCAAGUCCACUUGAAUUUGGGUUUUUAACUUAGGUUUGGGUGGCGGACGGGUGAGUAACGCGUAAAGAACUUGCCUCACAGCUAGGGACAACAUUUGGAAACGCAUGCUAAUACCUAAUAUUAUGAUAAUAGGGCAUCCUAUAAUUAUGAAAGCUAUAAGCGCUGUGAGAGAGCUUUGCGUCCCAUUAGCUAGUUGGAGAGGUAACGGCUCACCAAGGCGAUGAUGGGUAGCCGGCCUGAGAGGGUGAUCGGCCACAAGGGAACGGAGACACGGCCCGUACUCCUACGGGAGGCAGCAGUGGGGAAUAUUGGACAAUGGACCGAGAGUCUGAUCCAGCAAUUCUGUGUGCACGAUGAAGUUUUUCGGAAUGUAAAGUGCUUUCAGGUGGGAAGAAACAAAUGACGGUACCAACAGAAGAAGUGACGGCUAAAUACGUG